Non-coding RNA from Capsicum annuum, 106 nucleotides. The record is from Rfam. NCBI's taxonomy places the organism in Eukaryota, Viridiplantae, Streptophyta, Magnoliopsida, Solanales, Solanaceae.
UGAUAAUGAUGAGGGAAAUUUCUGAGCAUACUUUCAAAUCUCUCUCAAUCUUGGUAAAUAUUCUCUCCUUCUUUUGUCUGAAACUCAGAAUAUUGCUUCUCAAUCA